ACACGGAGGGCGCAAGCGUUGCUCGGAAUCACUGGGCGUAAAGCGGGUGUAGGCGGUCUAGCAAGUCAGAUGUGAAAGCCCACGGCUCAACCGUGGAAGUGCAUCUGAAACUGCUAGACUUGAGUGCCGGAGAGGGCAGUGGAAUUCCUGGUGUAGGGGUGAACUCCGUAGAUAUCAGGAGGAACACCGGUGGCGAAGGCGACUUCCUGGACGGCCACUGACGCUGAGACCCGAAAGCGUGGGGAGCAAACAGGAUUAGAAACCCCAGUAGUCC
Molecule: ribosomal RNA, 274 nt
Filed under: uncultured bacterium
Lineage: Bacteria
Description: partial 16S ribosomal RNA
Rfam family: Bacterial small subunit ribosomal RNA
Source: RNAcentral